CAAAUACUCCCUCCGUCCGGAAAUACUUGUCCUAGGAAUGGUUGUAUCCAAACUUAUUUUAGUUAUAGAUACAUCCAUUUUAUCCAUUUUUAGGACAAGUAUUUCCGGACGGAGGGAGUAGUAG
Molecule: non-coding RNA, 124 nt
Organism: Triticum aestivum (bread wheat)
Lineage: Eukaryota; Viridiplantae; Streptophyta; Magnoliopsida; Poales; Poaceae
Source: Rfam